RNAcentral lists this ribosomal RNA (1748 nucleotides) under Triticum aestivum (bread wheat). Its description in RNAcentral is "partial small subunit ribosomal RNA". Lineage: Eukaryota; Viridiplantae; Streptophyta; Magnoliopsida; Poales; Poaceae. The record is from RNAcentral.
UCUUAAUGGUAGAAUUGCCAAGUUAUGGUUUUCUCUAAAAGGUUAAUUAAUCGGAUAGGACCAUAAACCUGAACAGUAUGUUAAGGGAAAGACCUGGGGAGGGAUUACUUCAACCAUUGAACCCUUUGGAAUUGGUUGACUCAGAUAGUCCUUUGGUCAACAGGCCUUUCCAUGGACUAUCAUAAGUCUUAACGUAUCACAACCUUGUCUAUAAGAAUCUGUUGUUAAAGAAACUCCCUUCGUAUGGAGCCAGUGACUGUUUAUAUUUCCCCGAGUCAUAUAACUUGGACCUGUACUUAUUCAAGAGACCAUUAUAAGGAUUCCGGGAACCAUCGUAUCCUUCGAACGUCCUUAACAUGGAUCGUGUAUUGUUGAACAGUCCCUGUUAGGGUAAUCAUGAUGUCUUAAACUAUAGUAACUUGUUUAACCUAUAUAGGAAGUUAUUAAACGUUCCGCUCCACGGUUUGCUUCCACAAAAGUCUUUGUAGUGAAUGAAUCGUCAACGACCGUUACACUUAAACACACCACCAUGUAGAGUUGAAGUGGACCGAGGUACGAGGUGUUCCUUCUUGUUAUUUUCCUACAGUUUCAGAGAACAUUAAAGAGAUCGUUGGAAACCUCAUUAGCACAAGAGAGAUAGUCAAUAAGAAGAAGAAACCUAUAACACGUUCUUUGAGUUUGGUUCGGUCUUCUAUAACCGUGCUUUAAGUUAACAUCUACUGGCCAUGCUCUCUUAGGGGAUAGUACGUAAUGACUCCCCUUGAUUGCCUAAAAGUCUUCAGUUGAACGAACCCUCUCCUUCAAUACCACGCCAAAUAUUCACACAAAACCUGUUACUUCUUUCUUGUAACCGACAGUUCCACAAAUUGGAACCAGUUAGAUCCAUAAGUUUCUCAAAACUCCGACUUACACUCCGAUACUCUUCCUAUGCUGUGGCAACAGAGUAAUUCUAGUAAUGAAGAACAAGAUCGUAGUUGGUCGUUCCAGUUCUCAAGUUCCGUAACCAAAAACUUAAGUACGGGUUACCAUUGAACCUAUCGACCGAAGUAGUUGGUAGACUUCUAGGGUGAUGUUUGUUGUGCGAGCCGGAACGGGUCUCCGAACUAUAACGACAGCUAUAACACCUGCGUCAUCUUAUAAACGUGUUGAUGACAGUCGGGAACCAUUAGGUGACACUAGAAUUCGGUUCGUUGUAAGAAGAACGACUUCUGUACUCGCGGGCCCAACCUCUGAAACCGUAUAGUUCCUAGGAAGUUCUUUUAUGUUCACUCCGCUACGUUUGAAGUAUACCGAGUUGACCUGAAUCUCCAAGGUAUCCGAUACAACGAGGUCUCAUACCUCUUCCGAGGCGUCAGAGAUGUCGACCACUAUAAAUAUCGGAACCGUAUAACGAAGAACUCUACAAAUGCCCUUCUUCGGGUUGUCUUCCGUGCAAGCCUCUAAGUAACCCAGACGUAUUCAAACAGCUCCUACGAGAAGGUCUAUCUUGGUACCUCUAUCAACUGGGCUGUUACACCAACGUGUCGCCUGGUGUGUUAUUAUGAUGUUAAUAAUCUUAAGUCCUCAAUAACCAAAAUCAGAACUCUGAACCGUAUAGGACGAGUUUCGUUGUAGGAGCACUGGCUCGUAACUGUUCACUACGUUGUAGCCUCUACGUGCGUUAGUCUCUACAUAUGGAGUUCAAGCAUCCCCUCGUACCUCGUCUUGGUCUUCGGAGCUGAGUUCUUUAAGUCUCGUCGCAACGUAUU